This is a long non-coding RNA of Conger conger (European conger), 399 nucleotides long. RefSeq lists it as uncharacterized. The transcript has 3 exons. The record is from RefSeq and is a predicted model, not a curated record. Lineage: Eukaryota; Metazoa; Chordata; Actinopteri; Anguilliformes; Congridae.
GACGCACUUGAAAGAGACAUUUGAGACACAAAGCAGAGUGACCAGUCCAACACUGACAGGAAGAUGUGUCGCUCACUGCUCAUCCUGCUGCUCAUCGCUGGAGCUCUGCUGAUCUCUACUGAGGGUCAGCAGGAUUAUCACAAGCUCACUGGUAUAUACAAGGAUGCUGUUGACAAGGCAAUUCAACACUGCAAUGAAAAAUCCUCAAAGCAUGUUAAUUUCCUUGGCUUCCUUCCUGAUUCAGAGAAAUCUGAUCCAUUUUACAUUGAGCUUCACUUGAAAGUCACCACCUGCACAAAAACAGAAAAGACCACACAUCGAGAUGACUGCCCAUUUAUGGACCGAAGGCCAAAAAUCAACUGUGCUGUUUGCAAUAAAGGGAUUGAGUCCGGCCUCGAC